GGGGAAAUUAGUAAAUACACUCCUUAUUUUAUCAUAAACUUCUUUUACAUAGGAAGGCGAAAAUCCUAAGUUUCUAAACAAAAUUUCAAUCUUUUUUUGGGGGGGUUUAAUUUUAAUUUUACAUGAAAAGAAAGCUAACAAACUUAGGAGAGAACGGGAAUUUCCUUAUUAAAAAUCCAGCUGAACUUGACUCCAUGCGGCUUCAACUUCUUAGCCCGCUCAUCGGCUCGCUCCUGAAGCUUCCUGAUCCUCGGCGCCAACCCACACACAAAGUCCUGAGCCCGUCGCCCCUCUCCCGUCAAUCCCUCCACCUUCUCCAGCCUCCACCGUUGGAUCAGCACCUCCAGAAUGUCGGCGUAGUCGUUGGCCGUGUAGAUUCCAAGCCGCUGAGCCACGGCGGAGAAGUGGUCGAAUAGCCUGGGGUCCUGCCCAUCGUACAUGAGGUGUGCCGGCAUGGUGAUCUUCUUGUGCAUCAUGUCAGCAAUUGCCAGCAUCGCGCCGGUGGGGUCCACGUCGAGAAGCUUCUGGACGAUUCUGGAAUAAGCGUUCUCGUGGCGCUUCUCGUCGGAGGCGAUGGUACCGCAGAUUCGGGCGAGGAGUGGAUCGCCGCCGUCUUUGGCUAAACGGGCGGUGUUGCCAUGGGAUAUGAACGUGGCUCGCUCUUGAAAUGACGUGUACACGAAUCCCAAGUAUGGAUUGUUCUCCGUUCCUGGAUCCAUGCCGGCGCCGAUCAAAUACUGCACAGUCCGUUCAAUCAUCAUCAUAUCGACCCGACCCGUUAAAUAGAGGUAUGUCCGGAGCAAGUCACCGUGGCGGUUCUCCUCAGCGGUCCAAGUCCGGGUCCACGUGGCCCACGGGCUCCGGCUAGCCCCAGUCUCAUCUUUAACCCCAUCCAGCGUAUUAAUCAUCGUCUGAUAAGUCGGCAAUGCGUCCUCCGUAAUCAUAUCCCCAACCAGCACCACAAAGUACUCAUCCGGCAGCUCCGCCGUCCGAUCCCGCAGAGCCCUAACUUCCUCCACGAAUUCGUCGUAUGGCAACGUCGAAUCCGGCAAGAAAUCCUGCGGCUGCCAGCACUGAUCCACCGGCUUCAGCAGCGGCAACACAUUCUCACUCGCCCAACCUUCCAACGACUUGAACACGUCGAUCUUUUCCGGCGGCAUUGAGUGCGUCCUCCGAUCCUUGACCAGAGGCGGCGCCGUUAUUGCCGAAAUUGGCCGUACCGAUGGCCGGACUCUGAGAGCGUAGAGCGGCGGUGAAGAGUUCAGGCGGAAGUGAGCGAGAUUGGGGCCAAAUGGGGAGGGAGAAUGAGUUGGAACGUGGUUUGAGGUUAGUGUUUGCAUGAUGCUCCGUAUUCGUGGAACUCGAAAUUUGAGGCAAU
This 1378-nucleotide unclassified non-coding RNA is filed under the name Hevea brasiliensis (rubber tree). The record is from RNAcentral. Lineage: Eukaryota; Viridiplantae; Streptophyta; Magnoliopsida; Malpighiales; Euphorbiaceae.